This 466-nucleotide ribosomal RNA is filed under the name uncultured bacterium. RNAcentral describes it as "partial 16S ribosomal RNA". It matches the Rfam family "Bacterial small subunit ribosomal RNA", at positions 28 to 507 of the family's 1533-position model. The record is from RNAcentral.
GACGAACGCUGGCGGCGCGCCUAACACAUGCAAGUCGAACGAGCGAGAGAGAGCUUGCUUUCUCGAGCGAGUGGCGAAGGGGUGAGUAACGCGUGAGGAACCUGCGUCGAGGGGGGGGACAACAGUUGGAGACGACUGCUAAUACCGCAGUAGCGCACGGUGCAGCAUGGCACAGAGGGAAAAGGAGCAAUCCGCUUUGAGAUGGCCUCGCGUCCGAUUAGCUAGUUGGUGGGGUAAUGGCCCACCAAGGCGACGAUCGGUACCCUGACUGUGAGGUUGAACGCCCACUCUGGCAGUAGGACACGGCCCAGACUCCUACGCGAUGCAGCAGUGGGUAAUAUUGCAAAGUGGGGUGAACCCUGAUGCAGCUACGCCGCGUGGAGGAAGAAGGUUUUCGGAUUGUAAACUCCUGUUGUUCGGGAAGAUAAUGACGGUACCCAACAAGUAAGUGACGGCUAACUACGUG